This 446-nucleotide ribosomal RNA is filed under the name uncultured bacterium. Its description in RNAcentral is "partial 16S ribosomal RNA". It matches the Rfam family "Bacterial small subunit ribosomal RNA", at positions 329 to 793 of the family's 1533-position model. The record is from RNAcentral.
UGCCAGACUCCUACGGGAGGCAGCAGUAAGGGAUAUUGGUCAAUGGGGGAAACUCUGAACCAGCAACGCCGCGUGAGGGAAGACGGUUUUCGGAUUGUAAACCUCUGUCCUCUGUGAAGAUGAUGACGGUAGCAGAGGAGGAAGCUCCGGCUAACUACGUGCCAGCAGCCGCGGUAAUACGUAGGGAGCAAGCGUUGUCCGGAAUUACUGGGUGUAAAGGGAGCGUAGGCGGGGAUGCAAGUUGGGUGUCAAAACUACCGGCUCAACCGAUAGUCGCACUCAAAACUGCAACUCUUGAGUGAAGUAGAGGCAGGCGGAAUUCCUAGUGUAGCGGUGAAAUGCGUAGAUAUUAGGAGGAACACCAGUGGCGAAGGCGGCCUGCUGGGCUUUUACUGACGCUGAGGCUCGAAAGUGUGGGGAGCAAACAGGAUUAGAUACCCCGGUAU